UGGGGAAUAUUGCACAAUGGGCGCAAGCCUGAUGCAGCCAUGCCGCGUGUGUGAAGAAGGCCUUCGGGUUGUAAAGCACUUUCAGCGAGGAGGAAGGGUAGUGUGUUAAUAGCACAUUGCAUUGUCGUUACUCGCAGAAGAAGCACCGGCUAACUCCGUGCCAGCAGCCGCGGUAAUACGGAGGGUGCAAGCGUUAAUCGGAAUUACUGGGCGUAAAGCGCACGCAGGCGGUUUGUUAAGUCAGAUGUGAAAUCCCCGCGCUUAACGUGGGAACUGCAUUUGAAACUGGCAAGCUAGAGUCUUGUAGAGGGGGGUAGAAUUCCAGGUGUAGCGGUGAAAUGCGUAGAGAUCUGAAGGAAUACCGGUGGCGAAGGCGGCCCCCUGGACAAAGACUGACGCUCAGGUGCGAAAGCGUGGGGAGCAAACA
This 427-nucleotide ribosomal RNA is filed under the name uncultured bacterium. RNAcentral describes it as "partial 16S ribosomal RNA". It matches the Rfam family "Bacterial small subunit ribosomal RNA", at positions 355 to 774 of the family's 1533-position model. The record is from RNAcentral.